GUGAGGAAUAUUGGUCAAUGGGCGGGAGCCUGAACCAGCCAAGUCGCGUGAAGGAAGAAGGAUCUAUGGUUCGUAAACUUCUUUUGCAGGGGAAUAAAGUGCAGGACGUGUCCUGUUUUGUAUGUACCCUGAGAAUAAGGAUCGGCUAACUCCGUGCCAGCAGCCGCGGUAAUACGGAGGAUCCGAGCGUUAUCCGGAUUUAUUGGGUUUAAAGGGUGCGUAGGUGGUUUGAUAAGUCAGCGGUGAAAGUUUGCAGCUUAACUGUAAAAAUGCCGUUGAAACUGUCGGACUUGAGUGUAAAUGAGGUAGGCGGAAUGCGUGGUGUAGCGGUGAAAUGCAUAGAUAUCACGCAGAACUCCGAUUGCGAAGGCAGCUUACUGGGAUGCAACUGACGCUCAUGCACGAAAGCGUGGGGAUCAAACAGGAUUAGAAACCCCGGUAUCC
RNAcentral lists this ribosomal RNA (444 nucleotides) under uncultured bacterium. RNAcentral describes it as "partial 16S ribosomal RNA". It matches the Rfam family "Bacterial small subunit ribosomal RNA", at positions 354 to 795 of the family's 1533-position model. The record is from RNAcentral.